This 986-nucleotide ribosomal RNA is filed under the name Fergusonina turneri. RNAcentral describes it as "eukaryotic LSU rRNA". It matches the Rfam family "Eukaryotic large subunit ribosomal RNA", at positions 170 to 938 of the family's 3401-position model. The record is from RNAcentral. Lineage: Eukaryota; Metazoa; Arthropoda; Insecta; Diptera; Fergusoninidae.
AAUAUUAACGAUUUAAGUCCUUCUUGAAUGAGGCCAUUUAUAUCCAUAGAGGGUGCCAGGCCCGUAUAACGUUAAUGAUUACUAGAAGAUGUUUCCAAAGAGUCGUGUUGCUUGAUAGUGCAGCACUAAGUUGGUGGUAAACUCCAUCUAAAACUAAAUAUAACCAUGAGACCGAUAGUAAACAAGUACCGUGAGGGAAAGUUGAAAAGAACUCUGAAUAGAGAGUUAAAUAGUACGUGAAACUGCUUAGGGGUUAAGCCCGAUGAACCUGAAUAUCCAAUUAUGGAAAAUUCAACAUUAAUAUUUAUAAAUUUUAUAUUUAUAAAGAAUGGUGUGCACUUUUUCUAUAUUAAGGACAUUGUAAUCUAUUAACAUAUACAUAUUAUAUUUAUCAGAAGAUCAUAUUGCUUUUAAAGUUUAUUCAAAUUAAUUUAUUUAUUUAAAUUAACAUAAAAUAAAUGCAUAAUGAUUUGAUAAAGUGUUGAUAGAAUUUAAUAAUAUAUAGUGCUUAUUAAAUUUAUUUAAUUAAAGGAUAUUAUAUAUUAUAUAUGAUAUUUUUUAUGCACUAAUAUGAUUAACAAUGCGAAAGAUUCAGGAUACCUUCGGGACCCGUCUUGAAACACGGACCAAGGAGUCUAACAUAUGUCCAAGUUAUUGGGAUUUAAAAAUUUGUUUACAAAUUUUUAUAAAUAAAAUGAAACCCAAAAGCGUAAAUAACUUGACUUAAUAAAUGGGAUUAAUUUUUAGAAAUUUAAUAUUCUAAUUAUUCAAUCCUGGGGCGUUCUUUAUAGUUAUGUAUAAUAGUAUUUUUAAUAUUAUUUAUACCUCUAACUGGAGCGUACCUUGAGCAUAUAUGCUGUGACCCGAAAGAUGGUGAACUAUACUUGAUCAGGUUGAAGUCAGGGGAAACCCUGAUGGAAGACCGAAACAGUUCUGACGUGCAAAUCGAUUGUCAGAAUUGAGUAUAGGGGCGAAAGACCAAUCGA